RNAcentral lists this ribosomal RNA (488 nucleotides) under uncultured soil bacterium. RNAcentral's name for it is "bacterial SSU rRNA". It matches the Rfam family "Bacterial small subunit ribosomal RNA", at positions 26 to 506 of the family's 1533-position model. The record is from RNAcentral.
AGAUUGAACGCUGGCGGCAUGCCUAACACAUGCAAGUCGAACGGCAGCGCGGGUAGCAAUACCUGGCGGCGAGUGGCGGACGGGUGAGGAAUACAUAGGAAUCUACCCUGUCGUGGGGGAUAACGUAGGGAAACUUACGCUAAUACCGCAUACGACCGAGAGGUGAAGGCGGCGGACCGCAAGGCGUCGCGCGGCUGGAUGAGCCUAUGUCCGAUUAGCUAGUUGGCGGGGUAAGAGCCCACCAAGGCGACGAUCGGUAGCUGGUCUGAGAGGAUGAUCAGCCACACUGGGACUGAGACACGGCCCAGACUCCUACGGGAGCAGCAGUGGGGAAUAUUGGACAAGUGGGCGCAAGCCUGAUCCAGCAAUGCCGCGUGUGUGAAGAAGGCCUUGGUUAGUAAAGCUACUUUGUACGGAAGAAAAGGCCGUUAGGUUAACUACCGAUGGUGAUAGACGGUAACGUAAGAAUAAGCACCGGCUAACUUCGU